GGACCACCGUCCCCCCAGCUCCCAGCUCGGACACAAUGAGCUGCGGGGGGCUGCCCGAACGCGAGCAGCCAACCUGUGCGGGGUCAGUCCUUAUCUACUAUACACUGCCUUAAAUUACAGGCAUGCCUCUGUGCGUCUCCGCCUUCUGAAAGUCUCCGGAGUCUCAGAAAUACUUAAAACCUCGCCUUUAUCUCGGAGCCACCAUUGCUAAGGCAGUGGGACAUGUUCUGGACGCUGCGGAAUUUGCAUGAGCUCUCGCAAAAAGACCGAGUUUGAUGCAAUGCAUACCCCAUUUUUUUAAAAUAGCCUCUCUCAUCACUUUUAUUUCUUCAGAAUGCUCACAAGUUGUGAAUAAAAGUGUUUGCAUUAUCUCUGCAGAUGCUUCAGGAAGCCACGAUGAACUCAUUAUUUUAUUGUGAAACUAAAUCCAUAAAGCAGUCAUGAUGAGUAACUCGGGAACUUGUCGUAAUUGGGCAGUAACGCACAGUUUUAUCAUCUGGAGGAUUCUAGUGGGCUCAAUGUGGUUGCCAAUUCUGAACGAUUUAAUUGUGAACUUUACAACAUUUAGUGCCCUUCUUAAAGCUGUAGCUCCUGGACUCAUACAAUUAUGCAAGAAACUCAGGGGUUUUGUUUUCUUUUUAAUGAAGUUUCUAGCCUGUGGAUUUGUGGAUGUGACCUUAAAGACACAAACCUUAAAGGAACAGAAAGGAAAAGGUAUGAUACUGAACAGCAGGUCUGAUGGAGUACUAAAGAAAAGGAAAACACAGAAAAUGUAUCAGGGUGCUUGUUAAAUAGUUACCGAUAGGUACACAGUUCAUGGAAUAACAGCUUUUGAACAGAUCAAGUAAUCCUGGGACAAGGUCUAUUACUGUCAGAUCUGCUUGUAGUUUACUGUGAUUUCUCCUGGGGCUGGGGCACUGUCCAGCCACCUCCCGUCUCACCCCUCCAGUCUUGAGUCCGUAACCAAUUUUUAAACCCUCUGAAAAUCCCAGCCCCGAACCUCUGAUUUUCCCCCCUCCAUGUAAACUUUUACUACCAGCACUUCAAGCUGUUGAGGCUGAGUGUUACAGCCAAGACAGACUGGGUUUUGAUUUUACCUUCAGAGUUUAUAAGCAAGAAGAAACUCUGAAAACUAUGAGAACAGAGUUGCUUUUUUCCUUCAGAU
This is a long non-coding RNA of Myiozetetes cayanensis, 1165 nucleotides long. RefSeq lists it as uncharacterized. Lineage: Eukaryota; Metazoa; Chordata; Aves; Passeriformes; Tyrannidae. The transcript is spliced from 4 exons. The record is from RefSeq and is a predicted model, not a curated record.